AGACAAACUCCGAAUGCCAAUUAAUUUAACUUGGGAGUCAGAACAUGGGUGAUAAGGUCCGUGUUCGAAAGGGAAACAGCCCAGACCACCAGCUAAGGUCCCAAAAUAUAUGUUAAGUGGAAAAGGAUGUGGCGUUGCCCAGACAACUAGGAUGUUGGCUUAGAAGCAGCCAUCAUUUAAAGAGUGCGUAAUAGCUCACUAGUCGAGUGACACUGCGCCGAAAAUGUACCGGGGCUAAACAUAUUACCGAAGCUGUGGAUUGUCCUUUGGACAAUGGUAGGAGAGCGUUCUAAGGGCGUUGAAGCAUGAUCGUAAGGACAUGUGGAGCGCUUAGAAGUGAGAAUGCCGGUGUGAGUAGCGAAAGACGGGUGAGAAUCCCGUCCACCGAUUGACUAAGGUUUCCAGAGGAAGGCUCGUCCGCUCUGGGUUAGUCGGGUCCUAAGCUGAGGCCGACAGGCGUAGGCGAUGGAUAACAGGUUGAUAUUCCUGUACCACCUAUAAUCGUUUUAAUCGAUGGGGGGACGCAGUAGGAUAGGCGAAGCGUGCGAUUGGAUUGCACGUCUAAGCAGUAAGGCUGAGUAUUAGGCAAAUCCGGUACUCGUUAAGGCUGAGCUGUGAUGGGGAGAAGACAUUGUGUCUUCGAGUCGUUGAUUUCACACUGCCGAGAAAAGCCUCUAGAUAGAAAAUAGGUGCCCGUACCGCAAACCGACACAGGUAGUCAAGAUGAGAAU
This 731-nucleotide ribosomal RNA is filed under the name Staphylococcus aureus. RNAcentral describes it as "partial 23S ribosomal RNA". It matches the Rfam family "Bacterial large subunit ribosomal RNA", at positions 947 to 1679 of the family's 2925-position model. The record is from RNAcentral. Lineage: Bacteria; Bacillati; Bacillota; Bacilli; Caryophanales; Staphylococcaceae.